GAUGAAGAACGUAGCGAAAUGCGAUAAGUAAUGUGAAUUGCAGAAUUCAGUGAAUCAUCGAAUCUUUGAACGCACAUUGCGCCCGCCAGUAUUCUGGCGGGCAUGCCUGUUCGAGCGCCAUUUCAACCCUCAAGACCCCUUCGGGGGACUUGGUGUUGGGGACCGGCACAGGGGCCUGCCUGCUUGUCUUGCAGCGCCCUCGCCGCCCCCGAAAUGAAUUGGCGGCCUCGUCGCGGCCUCCCCUGCGUAGUAGCACAAACCUCGCAACGGGAACGUGACGGCGGCCACUGCCGUAAAACAACCCAAUUUUAUUAGAGUUGACCUCGAAUCAGGUAGGAAUACCCGCUGAACUUAAGCAUAUCAAUAAGCGGAGGA
Molecule: unclassified non-coding RNA, 375 nt
Filed under: soil metagenome
Description: partial contains 5.8S ribosomal RNA, internal transcribed spacer 2, and large subunit ribosomal RNA
Rfam family: 5.8S ribosomal RNA (bases 1-120)
Source: RNAcentral